Plodia interpunctella (Indianmeal moth) is the source of this 2413-nucleotide long non-coding RNA. RefSeq lists it as uncharacterized. Lineage: Eukaryota; Metazoa; Arthropoda; Insecta; Lepidoptera; Pyralidae. The record is from RefSeq and is a predicted model, not a curated record. The transcript is spliced from 2 exons.
UUCGUAAUAUUUAAAAAAAGGCUUAACCUAACGAUUUAUAUAGGUAUAUUUAUAAUGCGUAAAUAAUUUAUGAUAAACAGGAAUGUAGAUGUCGUAAAAAAUAAUAUCUUAAAGUGCUUACUCAUAUUACUGCCGUCAUACGGAGAAAGGACGCAUCUGACGUUUUUAUCGAAAAUGAGUUUCAUACUGAUUCGGAAUCAGGAGAAUAAGACACAUCUGCUAGUAUUUUUAAAGUUUGCUAAAACAAACGCAACCUAUAAAAUCUAACUGCAAAAUAGGACGUAUCUGCAAUAUUUCACUAAUAAUACUAAUUUGGAUGGACCUUUCUGUUCUAUAAUAAAUUGAAAAGACAUAUUUAAAUAGAAAUGUCUUUUUUUAACACAGUUUUUGUAAUGUGUCAUAUAAUGAAAAGGCAUUUCUAUAUUGUAAUAAAAAGAAAAGUCGGAUAGGCGAAGAUGUGUCUCUUUAUGUUAGCAUUGUUCACUUAUGUAUACCAGGCGUAAAACUACCUAGACGCAAGUGGCAGUAGCGUCCUUUUUUCGUAGUAUCGUUUGAUGUGCGGGGACUGCGGGGUAAAGGAGAAGUUCGUGGCACGUUGUAAGCACAAUCAGUUGCGCCUAGGCAGCCGAGACGAAAGCCGACGUCUAUGCGACGCUCGUCUCCGUGUUUUUUACGGAAAUAUGUCUAAUCAAGCGAGAUCUUCGAGGUGCUCAAAAAUAAUUUCGUUAGUACAACCAACUAGUUCCAGUGAAACUAAUUACUUGAAUAACGAAAUUUUGAAUAACGAUGCUAUGGAUAACCAAAUGUUGAAUAAUGAUACUUUUGAGAUUUUGAAUAACCAGAUUUUGAAUAACGAGAUUUUGAAUGACGAGAUUUUAAAAUAAAAAUUGAUUUAAUUGGAUUUUGAUUCAGACGAUUCAAUUUUUGAUAAAGAUUUUAUACCUUCAAGUUUAGAACUGCAAAAAAGUUCCGAAGAUUCAGACUGCUCAAUGGACAUCAUUCCUAACUCUCAGCCGAUUAAUAUUAUCAUUCCGGAGUCACCCGAAGAGUCUCAUCAAAAUUGUUCGGAAAAUCUAACGAAGAAAGGGCAAGUUAGGAAACGUAAAAAGUAUGAUAAGACACCAGCACAGAGGAAACAAAUGGAAAAAAUUGCAAAUAUAGAAAAUAAGUAUCAGUUAAAACCUGGAUGUAAUAUGAUUACUAAGUCAAAAUUAAUAGGGAUUAAGCAGCCAUAAAAACAUUUAUUUAAUUAGAAAGAAGAAGUAAUAGAAUAAGUUUUUUAUGUAGUUGAUUUGAUUUCAAUUGGAGUGAUCUCAAACAAUUCUUUUGGAAUGUUCACUAAAUCCCAAGCAUAAUUUCAUAGAAUUUCAAGAAUUGGGCCCUCAGGAACAUAUGUAUACUAAUACUCUGAAUUUAUUGAGCUACCAAAGCUGUGAUUGUCGUUUUAGUACUGCAAAUUUUUAAAAUUUGCAAACUUUCAGUAUAAGUAUAAUUUCUUCUUAGACUUUUAUGAUGUUUAAUUAUUAUGUCAAUAUAAAAUAAAUUAUUUCGUAACGUGUUUUUUUUCAUUUUGUUUUAAACUCCAAUUCAUAGAUGAAAAACGAAAAAUUUUAUUAUAUAAUAUAAUACAUUUUUUUAAUAAUAGUAAUAAUAACUUGAACAGCAGCUAAUGGCUAAAAAUGUGUUUGUUAAAUAGUAAAUUACAACCAAUUUUUACAUUCUUACUAAGUAGUAAAGACGGCUCUUAAAGUUUCUGAGUUGAAAAGACACAUAUAGCCAUAUACGUCUUUUCAAUACAGUAUUCAAGAUUUUUCUAUAUUUUUUUUACUAAGAAGAAAAAUAAAAUUUUAAUUAUUAACGAUAUUAAAUAAAAAAUAAAUAUAAUAAAUACGUAUACACAUAGAUCUCACUUAUUUACACAUUUUACAACCGUAAAAGUAUAUAAUAUCUUAACCUCUUUCGCGCAGCAAACUUUUUAAAUUGAAAAUUACAAACUAUUUUUUUUCUCCGUUUUCAAGUUAGUGCAGAAACGUCAUUUCUCCGUAUGACGGCAGAUUACUGCCUGUCUGUCUGUGAUUUUUUUUUCAAAAAUACCAUCUUCUAUUUCUCUUAAAAUUAUGAAAUAAUAAAGUAUGGCAUGUGCGCAAAGACAAUCUUAUACAAUGUACAGUCGGGGGCAUAUAAAAUACUAGAUAUUGCCUAGGGUUUCGCUCCCGAAUUUUGAGAUAAAAUAUAGCCUAUAGCAAUCUUGGAUAACGUACCUUUGUAAUGGUGAAAUAAAUUUUAAAAUCAGUUUUAUAUUAAUUUGCGAUUUCCCUAUUGGGUCCCGCGUCUGAGGAAAUAAUCCCGCCUUUUUACCCAUUAUGUCAAAAAUUCCCGCUUUGCCAAAAAAAAAAAAUCUGGAAACGCUGGU